RNAcentral lists this ribosomal RNA (301 nucleotides) under uncultured bacterium. RNAcentral's name for it is "partial 16S ribosomal RNA". It matches the Rfam family "Bacterial small subunit ribosomal RNA", at positions 509 to 807 of the family's 1533-position model. The record is from RNAcentral.
CAGUCGCCACGGGAAUACGUAGGUGGCAAGCGUUAUCCGGAAUUAUUGGGCGUAAAGCGCGCGUAGGCGGUUUUUUAAGUCUGAUGUGAAAGCCCACGGCUCAACCGUGGAGGGUCAUUGGAAACUGGUAAACUUGAGUGCAGAAGAGGAAAGUGGAAUUCCAUGUGUAGCGGUGAAAUGCGCAGAGAUAUGGAGGAACACCAGUGGCGAAGGCGACUUUCUGGUCUGUAACUGACGCUGAUGUGCGAAAGCGUGGGGAUCAAACAGGAUUAGAUACCCGCGUAGUCCCUGUCUCUUAUAC